AAGAAAAAUAAACAAGUUAGAUCAAUUCCCCGGCAACGGCGCCAAUUUUUGACUUGCGGUUGUCGAAGCCGGUCAAAAAUAACCUUUCUGGUUAUCAACAAUUUACAACUGCAGAUAGUGGUGAAAGGAUCGAAUUCACAGGGAAUUGAAGACUUACCUAUUUUCCUUAUCAAGACCAAUAAAAUAAACUGAAAUAAAAAUAAACUGCAAAAGAAGAAAACUGAAAACGAGAUAAACUGAAACGAGAUAAAACUGAAACGAGAUAAAACUGAAAACGAGAUAAACUGAAA
This 290-nucleotide long non-coding RNA is filed under the name Manihot esculenta (cassava). RNAcentral describes it as "long non-coding RNA (MESC_LNC009442)". Lineage: Eukaryota; Viridiplantae; Streptophyta; Magnoliopsida; Malpighiales; Euphorbiaceae. The record is from RNAcentral.